RNAcentral lists this ribosomal RNA (553 nucleotides) under uncultured archaeon. RNAcentral describes it as "bacterial SSU rRNA". It matches the Rfam family "Archaeal small subunit ribosomal RNA", at positions 25 to 586 of the family's 1478-position model. The record is from RNAcentral.
CACUGCUAUCGGGGUUCGAUUAAGCCAUGCGAGUCGAGAGGGUUCAGACCCUCGGCGCACUGCUCAGUAACACGUGGAUAACCUACCCUGAGGAGGGGGAUAACCCCGGGAAACUGGGGAUAAUACCUCAUAGGUUUCAGAUGCUGGAAUGCUCUGAAACCGAAAUGCUCCGGCGCCUCAGGAUGGAUCUGCGGCCGAUUAGGUUGUUGUUGGGGUAACGGCCCAACAAGCCCGUCAUCGGUACGGGUUGUGAGAGCAAGAGCCCGGAGAUGGAUUCUGAGACACCAAUCCAGGCCCUACGGGGCGCAGCAGGCGCGAAACCUUUACAAUGCGAGCAAUCGUGAUAAGGGAACCCCGAGUGCCUGAAACCAGGCUGUUCAGGUGUUUAAAAAGCACCUGGAGAAAGGGCCGGGCAAGACCGGUGCCAGCCGCCGCGGUAAUACCGGCGGCUCGAGUGGUGGCCGCUAUUAUUGGGCUUAAAGCGUUCGUAGCUGGGUUGUUAAGUCUCUUGGGAAAUCUCACGGCUCAACCGUGAGGCGACUAAGAGAUACUG